GUGGUAUUGGGGCGAGCGGGGCUCUGGCUUCUGCCUGUGUUAAGCUAUAAUAGAUCAGCUAUUGGAAUUGCUAUCCUGAUUCAAUGUUAUCGCGAAGAGACUGGAGACAAUUUUGCUAGUUCCAUAGGGACAUUAAAUUAAAAGAUUUAAGAGAACCAAAGAAAGAGAACCAAUUUUGAAAAACUUAGAUAUCUUUCUUGACUUAAAUAAUUCAAAUAAAGCUCAUAAAUAGUAAACUUUACAUGAAAUCUCAAACAAUAAUAACUUAAUAUUGAACAAAACUAUUACCCAUCCAAUUUCCUUUUAUUUGUUUGCAUCACACAACAAUAUAUUUCUAUCCUCAUGAGUCUGUUGCAACAUUUUGUCCUUUGGAUGGAUUUUUUUUUCUUUUGAAAUAGAAAAUUUGUGCUGUGGCAAGAAGACAAGACCAACUAUUUGUUAUCAUUCGCAAUCAGAAAUUACAAUUUAUGCAUCUUUAUGGAUUUUUUAUUCUUGAAUAUAGGAUCAUCUCUUGUUGACAACACAGCAUGUAACUGACAUCCCAGAUCAUACCUUGUAAAUGAACACUUUUGCUUGAAAAAGAAUAGAAAAAAGAUUAUUUUUAAUACUUGUUCAUCAUAUUUUUAUCAUAAGCUUUUGAAAGAUUGGAACAAUUAUUCCAUACAGAGAAGAUAAUGUAUGUCUCAAAAUUUUGUUGGAUGAUUUCUCUUAAUUGUAUAGUAGUAAGUUUUAUAUUCGUUUGAUCUUGCAUUAACAAACUGAUUUGUCUUAGAGAAAUAAACUAGUUGAGAACCUUGCUAGCUUUAUAGCCAGAAAUGUGCCAUCUUCAAUGGUUACUAUUUAGGAGCAAACAUGUUCUGUUGAGACAAUGUAAGUUCAUUUAGAAUCAAUCAAUUGUUUAUAUAGCUUUCACAAAUAUUGUAACUAGACAUGCCAGCUGUUUAGACUGUUUCUGUUGUUGUUAGCCCCAUUAAUACAUGUUUGAGUUUCCAGGUAUUCUGCUGCUUUGGAAAUUCAGUGGCCUCUACCCGCUUUCUAUUGCAAGAUGAAUUUAACAUUCAAACAACGCAAUGUGAUAAUUGCAUUAUUGUACUCUCUCUCUUCCCCUUUUCCUCUCACUCUCUCUCACACACACAUUAUGUUACACUUAUUAUGUGAUUGGUUAAGCAUUAUGUUUCUUCUCCUUCAGGGUUUUAUGUUCUGUCUACAACAAAUUGCAUGUAUAUUCUCAAUCGUUGCAAUGAUUGUUGGCAGUGAGGAAAUUCAAGAGGCUUCUCAAUUACUCUCAUGUUUGGCUGAUAUGGUGUAUUGCACGGUUUGUGCCUGUAUGCAGGUAGUGAUAUGAUCGACAAAGUGCAUGAAACGGAAACUGCAAAUAUCUUUUUAAUUAAGAUUUCAUAUUAAUACUAUGCUAACUUGAGUAUUUACAGACACAACACAAGAUUGAAAUGGACAAACGAGAUGGCAAAUUUGGGCCACAACCAGUCAUGGCGGUGCCUCCUUUUCAACAGAUGUCACGCAUUGAUCAACCCAUUCCUCCCUCGGUUGGUUACCCACCUCAACAAGCAUAUGGACAGCCCUAUGGUUAUCCUCCUCCUCAGGCUCAAGGCUAUCCUGCAGCAGGUUAUCCUCCAUCCAAUUACCCACCACCCGGAUAUCCACCUUCUGGCUAUUCAAGGUGAUCUGUUUACUGUGAUAGUGUGAUGAAUGGUGGUAUGUCAAAACAGAAGAGCAUUAUACAGUUGUUGGUGUUAAUUUGGAGUAGAUAAACUUCAAAACUUGUGAGUUGUUUAUUGAGUGGGAAAAUAGCGGAGCUGAUGCUUUUGUUUAUUUUAUCGAGGGUACUUAUACUAGUAAAAAUUUGUGUGGGUUUCGAUUUCUUUAUUGUGUAUUAAAAAAACAAAAAUUGAGACAUAAUUAAGACAUACUUUACUUUUCUUCUAUCUCAGUA
This 1951-nucleotide unclassified non-coding RNA is filed under the name Hevea brasiliensis (rubber tree). Lineage: Eukaryota; Viridiplantae; Streptophyta; Magnoliopsida; Malpighiales; Euphorbiaceae. The record is from RNAcentral.